Molecule: ribosomal RNA, 484 nt
Filed under: uncultured bacterium
Lineage: Bacteria
Description: partial 16S ribosomal RNA
Rfam family: Bacterial small subunit ribosomal RNA
Source: RNAcentral
GACGAACGCUGGCGGCGUGCUUAACACAUGCAAGUCGAACGAUGAACCCGGAGCUUGCUCCGGUGGAUUAGUGGCGAACGGGUGAGUAACACGUGAGUAACCUGCCCUUGACUCUGGGAUAACUGCGGGAAACUGUAGCUAAUACCGGAUACGACCCUCGGCGGCAUCGCCAGGGGGUGGAAAGAAUUUCGGUCAAGGAUGAGCUCGCGGCCCAUCAGCUAGUUGGUGAGGUAAUGGCUCACCAAGGCGACGAUGGGUAGCCGGCCCGAGAGGGUGAACGGCCACACUGGGACUGAGACACGGCCCAGACUCCUACGGGAGGCAGCAGUGGGGAAUAUUGCACAAUGGGCGCAAGCCUGAUGCAGCAACGCCGCGUGAGGGAUGAAGGCCUUCGGGUUGUAAACCUCUUUUAGUUGGGAAGAAGCGAAAGUGACGGUACCAACAGAAAAAGCACCGGCUAACUACGUGCCAGCCGCCGCAGUAA